CUCCUACUUCAGUCCCCAGAGUAGCUGGGACUAUAGCCAGUUUCAGACAUUGGAAGCCGGACCUGCUCUGCCCAGAAAGCCUCAUUAGGAAGAGAAGGAAGUACCCAGCACCCCAGGAGUCAAGUGUUAGCUGACCCAAUUAUUCACAUGUUGAAGACAGGCAAUGGCAAAAAUUGGAAUGGAAAAAAAAAAGAGACCCAAAUCCUCUAUGACGCCAGGAGGUAAUGAUGGAGCAGUGGUGAGAACCACUGAAUGCCACAGGCCUCAAAGGAAGAAAAAAGAGCUUUUGAAUGAGGCAAACUGCUGCAUGGAUAAGAGGCAGUCUGGCCGCAUGAGAAGGUUAAUCCUUGAGCAUCCUUCUCUUGGGAUUUUCUCUGGGAAAAUCCCAGUUUCACUUCCAGGAAGGUGUAUUAGUUUCUUAGGGCUGCUAUAACAAAGUACCACAAACUCAGUGGCUUAAAACAAGAGAAAUGUAUUCUUUCCCAGUUCUGGAAACUGAAAGUUUGAGAUUAAGUGUUGGCAGAGCCAUGUUUGCUCUGAAGGCUCUAGGGAAGAACCCUUCCUUUUCAUGUCCUGGCUUCUGGUGAUGUCGGCAAUCCUUGCAUUCCUUGACUUGUAGCUAUAUUGCUCCAGUCUCUGCCUCCAUUCUCUUCCCUGUGUCCCCUCUGUGUCUUCAAAUCUCUCUCUCCUUGAAAGGACACUAGCCAUUGGAUUUAAGGCCAUCCUAGUUAAGAAUGACCUCAUCUCAACUUGAUUACAUCUGCAAAGGCCCUAUUUCAAAAUUCAGUUACAUUCAAAUAGACUGGGGUGAGGAUGUCAAAAUAUCUUUUUGGGGGACACAAUUCAACCUACAGCAGAAAGGAAUAGAAGCAACAUUGUGUGAUCAGGCUGAAGGAGAGAUGAAUUAUUUAUAAUCGAGUGAGGACUUCAUAGAAUUAAACAGAAAGGAUUAGACAUGGGUUAUCAAGAGAUGACUGUCAAAAGGCAGGAAGCUUGGAAGAGAUAGUUGUAGCACUGAUGCUUAUAAAGCAGAGAUCUGAAAGUUGAAGGUCCCAGGGAAAAGCCAGAUGAUGUCAAUGAGUGAAACAUCCUGCAUGGGGUGUGUAGUGAAAUCUGAAAGCAGCCACUGCUCAGCUCCAGCUGGUUGCUGUCACAAGAGAAUAGACCCCAUGUUGUCAGAUUUUUCAAAAAUAAGCAGUACACUCAGAUUAUGUGGCAUCUCCUGAAUUUAAAAUGAUGACAGCUAGUUACACAUGUUGAUGAACUGUAGAGACUACAAACCCUGAUGCUGGCUGGAUUUGUACCAUGGAUGGUCAAGGAUCACAUAGCUAGGAGAGGCAGGGUAUACAGGACAGGCAGGGUAUACAGGACAGGCAGGCAGGAUAAAAAUGGAAUGCACAGCUCAGUGUUCUCAUUGGCAUGCCACUGGUCUCCCUGGUCAUAUGGAAAGCUGUUAGGAUGCAGAGUCUAAGCCCUGGUGGUUUCUGCUGAGCAGGCUGCCGGAAACAGAUGGUCUUCUUUUUGUUAGAGACAAUCACGACUCCUCCCUCUAAAGAGCUUACUGUCCAUUUGAGUGGAGAAAACUGCUGUACUUGAGAUGGGAGGUUUCUUGUGCAAAUCACCUCUGUAGCCAGAGCUUCUCAGGUUGAGUAGGAUUUAGGCAUGCAAAGGAGGUGGCCUCACUCAGUGUCCUCCAAGAAGGGAAAACAGCAUGGAGACAAGCAGGGAGAUGGUGUGUGCAGGAAGAGUAA
RNAcentral lists this long non-coding RNA (1751 nucleotides) under Homo sapiens (human). RNAcentral describes it as "HSALNT0181005". Lineage: Eukaryota; Metazoa; Chordata; Mammalia; Primates; Hominidae. The record is from RNAcentral.